CUUGGUGGAAAAAUAUGAUCGUGUCACAAUCAGCCAUCUUGGAAAACCGUGAAGAAAAUACGUGAAUUUACAAAAAACCAUCAACUUCUGGACCCAAUCAAAACCAAUAAUCAUCCUACAUGUCUGCUGACAUAUCUGACCGAAAAUGUUAUUUCAGAUUCUACUUGAGCACGUUCACCGCAACAAAAGAACAGAUUCAACAAUUAAAAUCCAUUGUCUUCUGAAUUCAAAGCGUUUACCUUUUAAUGACCUCCCGAGCGUUCAACGUAACUCUUACAACUAUCUUGCCAAAUCUAGCAGCUACCAAUGACUGUACCCCAUUAGCAGCCGACUCUGACCAGAAACAACAGUCAUACCGCCCAAAUUUUCUAGUAAAUACCAUUGCCACAGUUACCAUGGAAAUCAAGAAUGACUUAUGACAAAAGAAUACUUCUUCCUUAUUUUAUUUCUUUUUGCGUCUAUAUAUUCCUCCUUGCAUUUGACUGUUCUCUAACUGGAAAACAAGGAAAGCAUAAAAAAGAAAAGAAAAAAAAAGAGAUGCAAAUAUGCAUAC
Molecule: long non-coding RNA, 553 nt
Filed under: Spirodela polyrhiza (greater duckweed)
Lineage: Eukaryota; Viridiplantae; Streptophyta; Magnoliopsida; Alismatales; Araceae
Description: long non-coding RNA (SPOL_LNC000666)
Source: RNAcentral